Molecule: unclassified non-coding RNA, 3664 nt
Filed under: Hevea brasiliensis (rubber tree)
Lineage: Eukaryota; Viridiplantae; Streptophyta; Magnoliopsida; Malpighiales; Euphorbiaceae
Source: RNAcentral
GCAGAAACUGCCAAAAAAAACAAAUGGCGGUUCAUUUUUUCCCUCCCUUUUCAAAAUCCCUCCAAUAAACCAAGCCCUUUUUCGUUUUCCCUCUUCUUUCGCCAAACACUAUAAUCGUCUGUAUUUUUUUGAAUUUUCAGAAAUCAAAAUCUACCUCGUUUUGGAGCCCAUCAUCCGUAAUCAACUUUCCUUAUUCGCACUCUUUAAUCUUCGUAAUCUUCUUGGAUUCCUCUUCUCAAAAUCUUACCCUCAAUUUUCAUUGUUGAAUGCUCUAUGGAUGGUUGCACCUUUCCUUAAAUCUUAUAUACAUCCCCUUCUAAGCAGGGAUAUAUUCAUGGGUCUUCUUCAAUUUCUUCCAUAAUGAAUUUCAAGUGAGAUUUUUGGUGGGUCUUUACUUCUUCGCAUACUGAAACCCUAAAGGGUCAAUCUCUGGUUAUUUCAUUGUCAUUUCCUUUUGGGUCUUCAUCGUUACUACGAAUUGAAAUUGUUGAUAUUGAAUCUAUGGAUCAAUCACCUUCAAAUCGUAAUGGGCCUUCAUCAAUUUCAACCAUCAUAGCUGAUUCUGUCAAAACCCUAGACGGGUCUUCACAAUCUGCACAUAGUGAAGUCCAAGGCGACCGGUUUUACCUUCCUCGGUCAUCAAAUCCAAAUGGGUCUUCAAUUAUUUCAAUUAGUCCACGUAACCAGUUGUUGGUUCCUUCAUUGUCAGAUGGGUCACGCAGCAUACCUUUGGUCCCUAAUCAUAUUGAGACCAGAGAUUAUGGAUAUGUUGUUUCGUCUGAUGGAAGGGAGUCCUCAUUACCUUCACCAACGGAAUCUCAAGAUAACCAGUGUUUGGUCCCUGCAACAGUCGAUCCACGCCCAAGAGUAACCCGACAUGGCGAUGACGACAAUUUUGAUGACCACAAGUCAACUAUGCAAAUAGAGUCUGCCAGAGGCCCUUCAAGUUCAUUAGGCGCAAGGCUUCUUGAUGGAGAGCAUAAUGAAGAAGAUUUUGAUGAUACUGAAGUCAAUUUUGAAAAAGACAGACAACUUUCUGAGCGCCCAUGUGGCAAUCGUUAUUAUUCUUGCAACUGUAACGAAUUAUUGGGGGAUUUUUGCGGACCUCAUGAUCCUGCUUAUCAUCGUCGUGGACCUUGUGGUCAGUGUCGCGAUUUACAGUUUCAUUCACGGUGGAAUAGUCCAUGGCAACCUUCAAGAGAUCGCUGGGGGUGGCGCACAGAAAACGGAGAAGAUGUGCCCCUGGGUUUCUCGCUUCCUGUGAAGGAAACUGUAGUUACUGGGGUGGGUGCUGGGCUUUCUAAUCUUGGGAACACUUGCUUUAUUAAUGCAAUCCUGCAAUGCUUUACACAUACUGUGUCAUUUGUUAAGGCUCUUAAUUCUUGCAAUCAUUUAGUGCCUUGCCAGCGUGGUAUUGAAGGAUUUUGUGCUGUUUGUACCCUUCGUGAGCAUAUUGAAGCAUCCUUAGCCUCUUCUGGAAAGAUCAUAUCACCUUCGAAAGUUGUUGAUAAUUUAAAUCACAUUUCAUCUUGUUUUUAUAGGUACCAGCAGGAAGAUGCUCAUGAAUUCCUUCAAUGCUUAUUAGAUAAACUUGAAAGAUGUUGUCUGAAUUCAAACCUGAAUAAUGAGACCUCAUCUUCUGAAAAUGAUAACAUAGUGAAGUGCGUAUUUGGGGGUCGUCUUGUAAGCAAACUGCUAUGUUGCAACUGUGGUCACUUUUCUGAUAAAUAUGAACCCCUGAUUGACUUGAGUUUGGAGAUUGAGGAUGUGAAAACUCUUCAAGAUGCUCUAGAAUCUUUCACCAAGGUGGAGAAAAUUGAAGAUUCUGAUACAAAGUUUAGAUGUGACAACUGUAAGGAGGAAGUUUCUAGGGAGAAGCAACUUAUGCUGGAUCAGGCUCCUUCAGUUGCUACUUUGCAUUUAAAGAGAUUCAAGACAGAUGGAUCCUCUGUUGAGAAGAUUGGCAAGCAUGUAGAGUUUCCAUUAUAUUUGGACUUGAAGCCCUACACCAACGUCAGUCAAGAAAGUGAUGACAGUCAGGUAAAUUUGAAGUAUCAACUGUAUGCAACUGUGGUGCAUAAUGGAUCUUUACCCACUUCUGGUCAUUACUUUUGCUACGUACGGUCCUCUCCAAACACAUGGCAUAAGCUAGACGACUCAAUGGUAAUUAGGGUUGAUGAAGAGGUGGUGCUAUCUGAUGCUGCCUACAUUCUGUUUUAUGCCAGAGAGGGUACAGCCUGGUUUUCCAGUUUGAUGGAAUCACAAAAGGAUUGCUUGGACCUUUCAAAUACAUCACCCAAAUCAGUGCUGGAUAGCAUGGAUACUGAAUGCACUGCAUAUCCUCAUUUGGCAAAUAUUGAUGAUUGCAAAGCCAGUGCCACUAAAAGUUAUGUUGAGGGGGGCAGUGUAACUACAUUGGAUGUUGAGGGGGCUUCAGCCCACUCUUCAAAUGUAACGGUUCUUGAAGCAGAUCAGAUUAAUGAAACAGGGAAUGCUGCUGAGGGACUUUCUGCUCACGUUAAUGAAGCAGGGAAUGGUACUGAGGAAUUUUCAGCUCAUAUUUCUUGUGGAUCUAGACAGAGUGGAUUGAAAUUAUGCUGUGAUAAGUCCAGGCCUGGUAUCCUGGCCAAUGAUGUUUCUGUUUCACUUGGAGCUAUGGGUUGCCAUGAUGGAACUUUGCAUAAAGAGAAAAUGGAUGCUUUGCCUUCUAUUGAUGGAAAUAACUGUGGUGAGGGUGCUAACAGAAAUGAAAGAAAUGGUUUCCAUCCUCUGACGCCACCCAGAUCAAAAAGUCCAGAUAUGAAUUUUGGAGGGUUUUCAGGUAAGGAAUUUAUCCUGUCAAAUUCUUUAUAUGUUCUUUCUUUAGUUGCUAAUUAGAACUGAAUAUCCUUUCCAGAAGCAAGACAUCAUAUCCGGCAAGAUAAUUUGAAAUUGGAGAAUUCAUUAAACUAUAAUAGAUCUAAAAGGGCCACUAAUGAUGAGAGAAUGGAAGCUGUGAGAUUAACUAGGAGUAUGCCUAGUGCAAGGAAAAACAAACUUUUGGCUGCUAUGAAUCCCCAAAUUGACAAGAAAAGAAGAUUAAGAUCAUCGCCAUGUAAACAGGCUAGUCUUCCAGGUUCUCGCCGUAAGCUCAAUCAUCGUUUAGCAGCUUUGCAUUGAACAGGUAUACUUUAGAUUAAUUUAAGCAGAUUUUGGUCAGCAUAGAAUGAACAGUUAUUAAAUUCAAAGUUUCUUAAAGAAUGGAGAAUGUUUUGCCCUCUCAAGCUGCACGUUGGAUUCUUGGUUAUUCUCUAGUCUGCUGUAGUUGAUGUGGCUGGUUAUUUUUAGUCAUAACUUUGGAAUAUGUAAAGUUAAUUUGAGGGUUCAUUUAGAUAAUCUCACUAUAGUCUUUGGACACUGGAAUAAGGAGGGAUGGUCUUUUGAUUAGCACCUUAAGCUGUGCAAGUGCAGCAAUGUGGCUUAAGCAGAAUAUGGGAAUUGGAAGACAGGAUAUACCUGCUUUGGGUUUCUACUUUUUAUGGUAAUUUUAUUUUUUACUAAGUAAAUCUUAUUUUAUUAAUGACUAUCAUCAGAUGAAUUAUUAAAUUCUGAUCUAAUGGUGAAAUAUCCAAAGUAAAGACAGAAUUUUAAAUGAGAGUAACUUGUCAAAUUUCAUGAAAUUGCG